RNAcentral lists this ribosomal RNA (261 nucleotides) under uncultured bacterium. RNAcentral's name for it is "partial 16S ribosomal RNA". It matches the Rfam family "Bacterial small subunit ribosomal RNA", at positions 98 to 354 of the family's 1533-position model. The record is from RNAcentral.
CGGCACGGGUGAGUAACACGUGAGUGACCUGCCUUUUAGACUGGAACAACUUACCGAAAGGUGAGCUAAUGCCGGAUGAGUUAUAUAAGUGCAUGUUUAUAUAGGAAAGUUGGGAGACCUGACGCUGAAAGAUGGACUCGCGUCCCAUUAGCUAGUUGGUAGGGUAAUGGCCUACCAAGGCGACGAUGGGUAGCCGGCCUGAGAGGGUGGCCGGCCACACUGGGACUGAGACACGGCCCAGACUCCUACGGAAGGCAGCAG